UGGGGAAUCUUCCGCAAUGGGCGCAAGCCUGACGGAGCAACGCCGCGUGAGUGAAGAAGGUCUUCGGAUCGUAAAGCUCUGUUGAUGGGGACGAACGUGCCUAAUGCGAAUAGUAUUAGGUAAUGACGGUACCCAUCGAGGAAGCCACGGCUAACUACGUGCCAGCAGCCGCGGUAAUACGUAGGUGGCGAGCGUUGUCCGGAAUCAUUGGGCGUAAAGGGAGCGCAGGCGGGCAUGUAAGUCUUUCUUAAAAGUGCGGGGCUCAACCCCGUGAUGGGAAAGAAACUAUGUGUCUUGAGUACAUGAGAGGAAAGCGGAAUUCCCAGUGUAGCGGUGAAAUGCGUAGAUAUUGGGAGGAACACCAGUGGCGAAGGCGGCUUUCUGGACUGCAACUGACGCUGAGGCUCGAAAGCCAGGGGAGCGAACGGG
RNAcentral lists this ribosomal RNA (429 nucleotides) under bacterium. RNAcentral describes it as "partial 16S ribosomal RNA". It matches the Rfam family "Bacterial small subunit ribosomal RNA", at positions 355 to 776 of the family's 1533-position model. The record is from RNAcentral.